This 556-nucleotide ribosomal RNA is filed under the name uncultured fungus. RNAcentral's name for it is "SSU rRNA". It matches the Rfam family "Eukaryotic small subunit ribosomal RNA", at positions 194 to 755 of the family's 1831-position model. Lineage: Eukaryota; Fungi. The record is from RNAcentral.
GGAAGGGGUGUAUUUAUUAGAUAAAAAACCAAUGCCCUUCGGGGCUUUUUGGUGAUUCAUGAUAACUUUACGGAUCGCAUAGCCUUGCGCUGGCGACGGUUCAUUCAAAUUUCUGCCCUAUCAACUUUCGAUGGUAAGGUAUUGGCUUACCAUGGUUUCAACGGGUAACGGGGAGUUAGGGUUCGAUUCCGGAGAGGGAGCCUGAGAAACGGCUACCACAUCCAAGGAAGGCAGCAGGCGCGCAAAUUACCCAAUCCCGACACGGGGAGGUAGUGACAAUAAAUACUGAUACAGGGCUCUUUUGGGUCUUGUAAUUGGAAUGAGUACAAUUUAAACCUCUUAACGAGGAACAAUUGGAGGGCAAGUCUGGUGCCAGCAGCCGCGGUAAUUCCAGCUCCAAUAGCGUAUAUUAAAGUUGUUGCAGUUAAGAAGCUCGUAGUUGAAACUUGGGCCUGGCUGGCGGGUCCGCCUCACCGCGUGCACUCGUCCGGCCGGGCCUUCCUUCUGAAGAACCUCAUGCCCUUCACUGGGCGUGCUGGGGAACCAGGACUUUUAC